Molecule: small RNA, 123 nt
Filed under: Halomonas sp.
Lineage: Bacteria; Pseudomonadati; Pseudomonadota; Gammaproteobacteria; Oceanospirillales; Halomonadaceae
Description: Guanidine-I sequence
Rfam family: Guanidine-I riboswitch aptamer
About the family: This family represents a conserved RNA structure found upstream of the ykkC and yxkD genes in Bacillus subtilis and related genes in other bacteria. The function of this family is unclear although it has been suggested that it may function to switch on efflux pumps and detoxification systems in response to harmful environmental molecules.
Source: RNAcentral
CCAAUAGAUCGCUAGGGUUCCGACACCAUCAACGUAUAACCCCUGAUGGCUGUGGCUGGUCCGAGAGCAAUCGACCUAACGCUAAGGCGUGAGGUUACACGGCGGGACAAAAGCCCGGGAGGA